This is an RNA transcript of Planococcus citri (citrus mealybug), 2075 nucleotides long. RefSeq lists it as uncharacterized. The transcript has 10 exons. The record is from RefSeq and is a predicted model, not a curated record. Lineage: Eukaryota; Metazoa; Arthropoda; Insecta; Hemiptera; Pseudococcidae.
AGCCUUUGUUUGUGAAUACUAGUGAACACGUGACUAUCUUUGUAUUGUAACGGACUUCAGUUAUCACUGGUAUCAGUUCAAAUUAGUAAAAUUUCAUCAGAUUUUACGAGUACCUAAGUAAUUCAAAAUGCUUCACAAUCGCUUGGUUUCGUGUGGCAGUCUUCUGGUAAAAAGAUUUUCAAUUCUCCCAACGAGAUUAAACAGCACCGAUUGGAGCGAGAAAUAUAACAAGAAGAUGGAAAUUCUGAAAAUAAUGCAUGAUGACCUGAUUAAGUCUACCCCAGAAACAAUUCAGAUUUUAAAAAAUGUAGCCGAAUAUCAAGUCAACUGGGAAACCACACUUGCUGAGCUAGAUGCAGCGAAACAUAAGAUAGCGAAAAUGGAGAAAGACUCGAUUGAACUUGAAAAAAACAAAAAAAGCGUAGCCGAAUGUCAAGCCAGCUGGGAAACCGAAAACACACUUACUGAGCUACGUGCAGCGAAACUUCAGAUAGAGAUAAUGGAGAAAGACCUGAUUGAACAAGGAAAAAACGAAAAGUUUAUUCGAAGAGAUGUCGUCAAGGAAGCGUUGGUCAGCUGCAUUGGUUUUUAUGAAGGAUCAUUGGACGCAUUGGGCGAAGGCAGCUUUUGGAACUGCUAUCGAGGGAAUUCUUCUAAAUGGAAACAACUCCCCGAGGAUCUAAGAAACGAAAUUGAGGAGGCCAUCCGCAGGAUUGAAGUAAAUGCUUAUCAAAUUGCAGAGUGAGCUAUUGAAAGAUGGAAAACUUGCAAAAUGAUAUUUUAUUAACUAUGUAUUUCGAUGGUGAACUUCAGCCCAAGCAGGGUAACAGUAGUAUGAUUUUUUUAUAUGAAUAAGCGUGACAAUUUAGUUUUAUAUAAUGUUGAUUAGGUAUGCGAAUAAAAUAUUUUAAAUUUUUUUCAUAAUUUUAGGUUUAUUAAGUUAUACCUACUAGAGUUGAUCCUGUCUUGAAAAUAAUUCACAUCCAAGUUACAUGCAACUUGCCGUAGGUUUACUUAUUAUACAGGCACAGAAAUCUGGAUAUGCAACCCAAAAUGCCAGAAUCAUAAAUGGCUGAAAGAUGAGCUUAAAAUAAUUUAUAAUGAAUGAAUAAAAAUCAAAAACGAUGAACCUACCUGACUACCUACUUAAAGAAGUUUAUAAACGGACAUUGAAUCACGAAGAAUAUCAUCUUUUAAAGUACCUAUACCAACUUGAUUGCUCGAUAAAUGUGAAGAUUAUUUAUAAAUAAUUCAAAAUGCUUUACCAUCGCUUGGUUUCGUGUAGCAGUCUUCUGGCAAAGAGAUUUUCAAUUGUCCCAUCGAGAUUAAACAGCACCGAUUGGAGCGAGAAAUACAACGAAAAAAUGGAAAUUCUAAAAUCAGUGCAUAAUGACCUGAUUAAAGGGUUCCCUGCAGAAGCAAUUCAGAUUUUAAAAAUUUUAGCCGAAUAUCAACUCAACUGGGAAAAAACACUUGUUGAGCUAGGUGUAGCGAAACAUGAGAUGGCGAAAAUGAAGAAAGACUCGAUUGAACUUGAAAAAAACAGAAAAAGUUUAGCCGAAUGUCAAGUGAACUGGGAAAACACACUUGCUGAGCUAGGUGCAGCGAAACAUAAGAUGGCGGAGAUGGAGAAAGACCUGAUUGAACACGAAAAAAACAAAAGGGAUAUAAAUCGAAGAGAUGCUGCCAUGAAAGCGUUGGUCAAAUGCGAAUUGUGGGACGACUACCGAACGAAUUCUCCGAAAUGGAAACAAUGUAUCCAAAAGUGUAAGAGACGAAAUUGAAGAAGCUCUCUAUGGUAGCGUCCCCCCUCCUUUGAAAAAUGACUGGGACUUUUAAGUUUUACAUCUAGGCUGAAGCGUGCAGGAUUGAAGUGGAUAGGUACUUGUCAAAUUACGUAGUGAGCGAUUGAAAAAAUGGCAAACUUGCAAAAUGAUAUUAGGUAACUAUUUCUAUGGUGAACUUCAGCCCAAACAGGGUAACAGUAGUGUUAUGAUUUUUUUAUUUGACGAUUUAGUUUUAUAAUGCUGAUAAGUGAUCUUAAGGUAUGCGAAUAAAAUAUUUUUAAUUUUUUU